This 253-nucleotide ribosomal RNA is filed under the name uncultured bacterium. RNAcentral describes it as "partial 16S ribosomal RNA". It matches the Rfam family "Bacterial small subunit ribosomal RNA", at positions 524 to 776 of the family's 1533-position model. The record is from RNAcentral.
UACGUAGGGUGCGAGCGUUAUUCGGAAUCACUGGGCUUAAAGGGUGCGUAGGCGGCGUAGAAAGUUGGGUGUGAAAUCCCUCGGCUUAACCGAGGAACUGCGCCCAAAACUACUAUGCUCGAGGGAGAUAGAGGUGAGCGGAACUUAGGGUGGAGCGGUGAAAUGCGUUGAUAUCCUAAGGAACACCGGUGGCGAAAGCGGCUCACUGGAUCUUUUCUGACGCUGAGGCACGAAAGCGUGGGUAGCGAAUGGG